AGCUUUAUUUUACUAAUAAUAUAAAAAAGUAAUAAGAAAAAACAUUUUUAUUUAAAAAUUUUUAUGUUUCCUUUUUCGUAAUAUACUUUAUUAUUUUUAUCUUUGUAAAAAAUUUUAGUUUAAUCUAUGUAUAUACCGUUCGUGAUAUGAUAGUAAUGAUAGUAACACUUUAAAUAGAGCAAUACAGGGAAUUUUCUCUCUAUUACAACCAGACUCAUUGAAAGUUACACAACAGAAAUUGAAAUUGAAAACCAGAAAUGGCCAGUUUGAAAGUAUUAUUUUUGCUUUUGGCAACCAUUUUAAUGUUCCUGGCUCCUGCUAUUAAUGCUAGAUGUUCACCAAAUGGAACUCCAUGCCAACCCGAUGGAAGAACACCUUGUUGUACAGGAUUUUGUUACAAACAAGUAGGAUGGAGAAGAGGAGUUUGUUCUAUUCGAUAAAAAAAGCAACCUUUAUAUUUUAAUGUCACUCUGUUAAAAUUUAUAAAAUAUGUUUUGAUUUUUAAAUAAAAUGCAUUUAAUAUUCUUAAAAAA
This is a long non-coding RNA of Leptopilina heterotoma, 533 nucleotides long. RefSeq lists it as uncharacterized. The record is from RefSeq and is a predicted model, not a curated record. Lineage: Eukaryota; Metazoa; Arthropoda; Insecta; Hymenoptera; Figitidae. The transcript has 2 exons.